UACGUAGGUGGCAAGCGUUAUCCGGAAUUAUUGGGCGUAAAGCGCGCGCAGGCGGUUUCUUAAGUCUGAUGUGAAAGCCCACGGCUCAACCGUGGAGGGUCAUUGGAAACUGGGGAACUUGAGUGCAGAAGAGAAAAGCGGAAUUCCACGUGUAGCGGUGAAAUGCGUAGAGAUGUGGAGGAACACCAGUGGCGAAGGCGGCUCACUGGCCCGGUACUGACGCUGAGGCGCGAAAGCGUGGGGAGCAAACAGG
This 253-nucleotide ribosomal RNA is filed under the name uncultured bacterium. Its description in RNAcentral is "partial 16S ribosomal RNA". It matches the Rfam family "Bacterial small subunit ribosomal RNA", at positions 524 to 776 of the family's 1533-position model. The record is from RNAcentral.